AUGUUGUUUUCGAAACAGUGGCGUCGCGGGAAUCCCGGGGGCGAACGAGCUUCUCUUGAAGUCCCUAGAACGACCCCUUCCAGCCAUCAUCACGCAACAACAACGACGACGACGACGACGGGCCUGUCCCUUUAAGACCCUUUCGGGCCCGCAGCCCAGGCGAGCCGGCCCGGGCCUCGCCCUGUGAGCCGCCCGAAGCUUCUUCCCCGCUGCUGGUUUGUUUUCCUGCCGCCGCAAAAAUGAGUUUUUAAUUCGUGGUUCCUCGCCCAGCCCGCGACUUUUUUCCGAGUUGCGCCAGAGAUUCCCGAGAGAAGCCCCUUGGUCUCCCCUGGAGGAAAUUUGGAAAUCGUCGUUUUCCUGGAAGCAAAGGGAAAAGAAAAAACAGAUUCUCUCUGCAUUCCACUCCGGGAGCCUCCAAGCACACAGCUGGGUUGGGAGCUCGCAAAGAAAAUGGAGCAUGAAAUGGAGGCCGUGGCGGAAGGAGGGACGGUAAUGUGCGGUGAUCCGGACUCUGACACCAGAACCGCCGGAGCGCAGGUUCAGCCAUGUUCUCAGGAUGACCUCAGUGUCCUCCGAAACCAGGGCGCUUGUUUGCGUUCACGGCAGAAAA
Molecule: non-coding RNA, 610 nt
Organism: Pogona vitticeps (central bearded dragon)
Lineage: Eukaryota; Metazoa; Chordata; Lepidosauria; Squamata; Agamidae
Source: RefSeq, a predicted model, not a curated record